GCAAGUCGAGCGCUUCCCUUCGGGGAGGAGCGGCGGACGGGUUAGUAACGCGUGGGAACAUACCCUUCACUACGGAAUAGCCUCGGGAAACUGAGAGUAAUACCGUAUACGUCCUCCGGGAGAAAGAUUUAUCGGUGAAGGAUUGGCCCGCGUUAGAUUAGAUAGUUGGUGGGGUAACGGCCUACCAAGUCUACGAUCUAUAGCUGGUUUGAGAGGAUGAUC
Molecule: ribosomal RNA, 222 nt
Filed under: uncultured bacterium
Lineage: Bacteria
Description: partial 16S ribosomal RNA
Rfam family: Bacterial small subunit ribosomal RNA
Source: RNAcentral